GAUGAACGCUGGCGGCAUGCUUAACACAUGCCAGUCGAACGGGAAGUGGUGUUUCCAGUGGCGAACGGGUGAGUAACGCGUAAGAACCUGCCCUUGGGAGGGGAACAACAACUGGAAACGGUUGCUAAUACCCCGUAGGCUGAGGAGCAAAAGGAGAAAUCCGCCCAAGGAGGGGCUCGCGUCUGAUUAGCUAGUUGGUGAGGUAAUAGCUUACCAAGGCGAUGAUCAGUAGCUGGUCUGAGAGGAUGAUCAGCCACACUGGGACUGAGACACGGCCCAGACUCCUACGGGAGGCAGCAGUGGGGAAUUUUCCGCAAUGGGCGAAAGCCUGACGGAGCAAUGCCGCGUGGAGGUGGAAGGCCUACGGGUCGUCAACUUCUUUUCUCGGAGAAGAAACAAUGACGGUAUCUGAGGAAUAAGCAUCGGCUAACUCUGU
Molecule: ribosomal RNA, 436 nt
Filed under: uncultured bacterium
Lineage: Bacteria
Description: partial 16S ribosomal RNA
Rfam family: Bacterial small subunit ribosomal RNA
Source: RNAcentral